RNAcentral lists this ribosomal RNA (510 nucleotides) under uncultured bacterium. Its description in RNAcentral is "partial 16S ribosomal RNA". It matches the Rfam family "Bacterial small subunit ribosomal RNA", at positions 28 to 507 of the family's 1533-position model. The record is from RNAcentral.
GACGAACGCUGGCGGCGUGCUUAACACAUGCAAGUCGAACGAAGAGCGAUGGAAGCUUGCUUCUAUCAAUCUUAGUGGCGAACGGGUGAGUAACGCGUAAUCAACCUGCCCUUCAGAGGGGGACAACAGUUGGAAACGACUGCUAAUACCGCAUACGAUCUAAUCUCGGCAUCGAGGAUAGAUGAAAGGUGGCCUCUACAUUUAAGCUAUCGCUGAAGGAGGGGAUUGCGUCUGAUUAGCUAGUUGGAGGGGUAACGGCCCACCAAGGCGAUGAUCAGUAGCCGGUCUGAGAGGAUGAACGGCCACAUUGGGACUGAGACACGGCCCAGACUCCUACGGGAGGCAGCAGUGGGGAAUCUUCCGCAAUGGACGAAAGUCUGACGGAGCAACGCCGCGUGAGUGAUGACGGCCUUCGGGUUGUAAAGCUCUGUUAAUCGGGACGAAAGGCAUUCUUGCGAAUAGUGAGAAGGAUUGACGGUACCGGAAUAGAAAGCCACGGCUAACUACGUG